CCAGGGUUCUAUGCUCUCUGUCAGGAUGUUGCACUGCUGGAUGGUGGUGUGCUGUAACUGGCUGGCCUCUUGCUGCAGACUCUGAGCUGUGCGGCAGAUCGGCAGGCUGGCCACUACUUCCUCUGGUAGCCGGAGGGCGCUCUGACACUGCUGCACUGCUGCCACCUGCUGCUUGAAGCCCUCCAUUUCCACCAACAGACGCUGAUGAACGAAUGAAGAGAGAUGUUGGAGAGAGUCAACACCCUUGUCUUCCAGUUUCAGAGUGAUAGUCUUCAGCUUCAUCUCGAUGUCCUGGAGUCUGGAGCCGAAGUCCUCUUUCACAUCUCUUGUCUGUUGCACCUCCCUUUCCCUCGCCUGGACCUAAAGCAGAGGGCAGAAAUACACACAAUUCAUUGUACUGUCAAACACUAAUAUACUGUAAGCCUUUAAACAGUGCUAUUAUGGACAUUUCAGCAUAAACUCUCUGGAGCCCUGCAGCAGGAAAGUCUUACAACAGGCUGCAUAGUGGAA
RNAcentral lists this long non-coding RNA (510 nucleotides) under Sparus aurata (gilthead seabream). RNAcentral's name for it is "lncRNA (ENSSAUG00010010120.1)". The record is from RNAcentral. Lineage: Eukaryota; Metazoa; Chordata; Actinopteri; Spariformes; Sparidae.